RNAcentral lists this long non-coding RNA (1433 nucleotides) under Homo sapiens (human). RNAcentral's name for it is "HSALNT0002999". Lineage: Eukaryota; Metazoa; Chordata; Mammalia; Primates; Hominidae. The record is from RNAcentral.
AAGGAGGAGGUUUUCAUCCAGUGUGGUGUGUGCAGGAUGGAAUUGCAGAAGCGCAGAUGAGGGCCCCAGAGCCAGCCUGGCCCAGUGAAGGGUCUCAGAGGAGGGGGCUAUGGAGAUGAGACUCCUAAGGAGCAGUGAGCCAGGCAUUCCAGGCUGAGGGGACAUCUUGAGCAGAGGCCUGGUGCCACCUGAGCAUCCACCUUGAGGUCAAGUCCAGCCUUCCUUGUGGGGAGAAGAAGAGGACAAAGGAAAGGUCAGGACUUGGAACACGUCUCGGCGACCCUCUCACCCAGACACCCACCGUUCCAGGAAGCCUUCCCAGGAUGUGAGCCCAGGACAACCUUUGUCCAAGCAGGUGGUCUUUCUGGGUGCCAAGAAGAAUAGUAGGGAACUUGGUUCUGGUAGCAUCCAUGGCACUGCCCCAACUUCCAAAGCUGCUCAGCAAAGACUCACUGGAUGUCCUCAGACCGGCCCUGGCACUGGGACAGGAGGGCAGACUUCCCCAGGGGUCUGUGCCCAGCUGGCCAGAGUGCUCACCUGCUGACCGACACACCCUCCUCUUGUUGGCCUCUUUCCCUUCCUGUCUCAUUUCCUGACUCAUCAAUCUGGACAUUAGGAAAUCAGCUCCCAGAAUGGCAUUCUUCAGAAUAUCAGCCAAUUUGUAUAGAAUUAGUCAGUGCCUGGCCCCCCAGCUGCAGCACCGGGACUCCAGGGAGGAGGAAUGUACCUGCAGCCUCGCCUGAUGCGGAGGCUCCGGCAAGUCCCAGCACAAGAUUCGCCUGCCUGCCCACGACCAGGAGGGGAGGCAGGUAGCAGCAGGGCAGACAUGGAUCCCAGCCACUCCUGGGCAGCCUGUGCCCCACACCAAUCAUAAGCUGCAGCUGCCAGAAACUUGCUCAGGAACAGCAGGGGUGAGGCCACUGACUUCACACAUGUGCACGCACUCACACUCACACUCACACACAUCCUGGCUGAGCAAGCCCAGGGCCAGCCCUGGCCCCUGGGUCCAUGUCCCCAUGGACCAGCCCAGGGACCCCUGGAAAGGGGCAAGAGAUAACUGGCUGAACUCUCUGCCAGAGUUCCAGAAAAAGCCGCAGAGGUUAUGCAAGAGCUAAGUUCAAAUCCCAACACUACCUCUUAACUUGCUGUGUGACCUUGGACAAGAUGCUUUACCUCUCUGGGCUUCACUUGCCCCAUGUGUAAAAUGGGAAUCAUAAAGUGCUUACCUGCAAUCACGUACACGAAUGUGCUUUCGGACACUGAAGUGCUGAAUGCGCUGGGAGUCAAAGCCGUGCUACUGAGACUUCCAAACAGGUCGUGCCUCCUCUGUAAUGUGCGUGUUUAUGUUGAUUCAAUUAAUAAGCACUUAGUGAGCACCUACUAUGUGGUGACUUUGAGGACAUUAUUUCUGCUUUCUGGGCCUCAGUAUCUCC